AAGACUAUACUUUCAGGGAUCAUUUCUGCAGUUUUGCAUAGAGAAGAUUCUCUGUGUAGGGUAUCUUAGACCACAAGGACCAGUAGAAGUGUUCCCUUUAAAGCGUGCAGCUUGCUUUAGGUGCUGCUUUUCUGUAGCUGCCUCUUGUUAUUGAUGGUCCUUCUUCUCUUUUUUUGGUGGUGGGGGGAUGCAGUUUGAAUAGAAAAGAAAAGAAAGAGGGACAGAGGG
RNAcentral lists this small nucleolar RNA (228 nucleotides) under Microtus ochrogaster (prairie vole). RNAcentral describes it as "Small nucleolar RNA U3 (ENSMOCG00000011483.1)". It matches the Rfam family "Small nucleolar RNA U3". From Rfam's summary of the family: Small nucleolar RNAs (snoRNAs) are involved in the processing and modification of rRNA in the nucleolus. There are two main classes of snoRNAs: the box C/D class, and the box H/ACA class. U3 snoRNA is a member of the box C/D class. Lineage: Eukaryota; Metazoa; Chordata; Mammalia; Rodentia; Cricetidae. The record is from RNAcentral.